GUCAAAUAACCGAUUAUCCCAAAACCUUAAGGUGUUAGGAUAGAGCCAUAUCAAUGGUUAUAUAUUAUUUCAAACACGCCCCCUCACGCAAGAGCCCACUUGGGCUUGAAGCGUGGAUAAUGCAUAGGCCCACCUACCAUAUGCUUAAAUUCCACUUUUUAAUUAGAAAGUGAGGGGAGCGGGGAUCGAACUCUAGACCACUUAGUCAUAGAGGCUCUGAUACCAUGUCAAAUAACCGAUUAUCCCAAAACCUUAAGGUGUUAGGAUAGAGCCAUAUCAAUGGUUAUAUAUUAUUU
This 296-nucleotide long non-coding RNA is filed under the name Trifolium pratense (red clover). RNAcentral describes it as "long non-coding RNA (TPRA_LNC002253)". Lineage: Eukaryota; Viridiplantae; Streptophyta; Magnoliopsida; Fabales; Fabaceae. The record is from RNAcentral.